This 64-nucleotide transfer RNA is filed under the name Dipodomys ordii (Ord's kangaroo rat). It matches the Rfam family "tRNA". From Rfam's summary of the family: Transfer RNA (tRNA) molecules are approximately 80 nucleotides in length. Their secondary structure includes four short double-helical elements and three loops (D, anti-codon, and T loops). Further hydrogen bonds mediate the characteristic L-shaped molecular structure. tRNAs have two regions of fundamental functional importance: the anti-codon, which is responsible for specific mRNA codon recognition, and the 3' end, to which the tRNAs corresponding amino acid is attached (by aminoacyl-tRNA synthetases). tRNAs cope with the degeneracy of the genetic code in two manners: having more than one tRNA (with a specific anti-codon) for a particular amino acid; and 'wobble' base-pairing, i.e. permitting non-standard base-pairing at the 3rd anti-codon position. Lineage: Eukaryota; Metazoa; Chordata; Mammalia; Rodentia; Heteromyidae. The record is from Rfam by way of RNAcentral.
GGUGGCUCAGUGAUAGAGUGCUUGCCUUGCAUGCAUGAGGCCCUGGGUUCAAUCCUCAGCACCA